ACAAUUUUUUUCGUUUAAGAUUUUCAAAUUUUAUUUGUUCAAUCAGAUAUAACAAUAUAGCAAGGAAACAGUGUAUCAUAUCAGAAGUAGAAUAAUUACAUGUUACAUGACUCGGAAUACACGUGCAACACACGUGCCAAAGAACUAGUAUAUAAAGAAAAGGAAUCUCCAAAAGGAGAAACCCUAAGCAUUCAAAUCAAAGCAAUAGAGAAGAGGAAGCUGUAAAGAUGACUCGAAAGGCAAAUCGUAUCAAAGGUAUCUGUUUCUUUCUGCUUGAUCUCUGUGUAUUUUCUGCUUAUUUGUAUUUUUUUUUUCGUGUUCUUUUUACCCCUUGUGAUCAGGAGGUCACGGGUUCAAGCGUUGAAAACAGCCUUUGGCAGAAAUGCAAGGUAAGGCUGCGUACAAUACACCCUUGUGGUGGGGCCCUUCCCCGGACACCGCGCAUAACGGUAGCUUAGUGCACCCGGCUGCCCUUUUCCUCUUCUUACCCCUUGUAAAGGUGGUAUCUGAGUUAGCUUUGACGUACUAACUCCAUAGGCGGGCGAGCUAGAUUACUAGUUACUAAUUCAGCAAAAUUCAGUAAUUUUGGAAAAAUCCAGUAUUUGUGUUGAGCAUCUAUUUAAUAUGUAUAAUAAUUUUACCAGAACCCAACAAGUUACCUUUUCUAGCAUCUAGAACUCAUAAACUUAAGAUUCUAGAUCCGCCUCUGCGCGGUGCUGCUAAUGUCUUAUGGUCUAUAUGAAAUUAAUAAGCACAAUCUUUAAUUGAAGGGAAGAGAGCUACGAAGCAUUUUGAGGAAACAAUU
RNAcentral lists this long non-coding RNA (805 nucleotides) under Capsicum annuum. Its description in RNAcentral is "long non-coding RNA (CANN_LNC021995)". The record is from RNAcentral. Lineage: Eukaryota; Viridiplantae; Streptophyta; Magnoliopsida; Solanales; Solanaceae.